Molecule: transfer RNA, 61 nt
Filed under: Aptinothrips stylifer
Lineage: Eukaryota; Metazoa; Arthropoda; Insecta; Thysanoptera; Thripidae
Description: tRNA-Cys
Source: RNAcentral
AGUUUCGUAAUUUAUAAAAAAUAUAAAAUUGCAAAUUUUAAAAAGAGUUUAUCCGAAACUU